AUACCGGCGGCUCGAGUGGUGGCCGCUUUUAUUGGGCUUAAAGCGUUCGUAGCUGGGUUGUUAAGUCUCUUGGGAAAUCUGGCGGCUUAACCGUCAGGCGUCUAAGGGAUACUGGCAAUCUUGGAACCGGGAGAGGUGAGGGGUACUUCGGGGGUAGGGGUGAAAUCCUGUAAUCCUCGAGGGACCACCUGUGGCGAAGGCGCCUCACCAGAACGGCUUCGACAGUGAGGGACGAAAGCUGGGGGAGCAAACCGGAUUAGAUACCCGGGUAGUCCCAGCCGUAAACGAUGCGCGUUAGGUGUAUCGGUGACCACGAGUUACCGAGGUGCCGAAGGGAAACCGUGAAACGCGCCGCCUGGGAAGUACGGUCGCAAGGCUGAA
Molecule: ribosomal RNA, 381 nt
Filed under: uncultured archaeon
Lineage: Archaea
Description: bacterial SSU rRNA
Rfam family: Archaeal small subunit ribosomal RNA
Source: RNAcentral